Molecule: ribosomal RNA, 435 nt
Filed under: uncultured organism
Description: bacterial SSU rRNA
Rfam family: Bacterial small subunit ribosomal RNA
Source: RNAcentral
AACGAACGCUGGCGGCAGGCCUAACACAUGCAAGUCGAACGGAUGUAGCAAUACAUUAGUGGCGCACGGGUGCGUAACAUGUGGGAAUGUACCCUUGGGUAAGGAAUAGCUACUGGAAACGGUAAUUAAUACCUUAUAAUGACUCCGGUCCAAAGAUUUAUCGCCCAAGGAUCAGCCCGCACCUGAUUAGAUAGUUGGUAGGGUAAUGGCCUACCAAGUCUACGAUCAGUAGGGGGUCUGAGAGGAUGAUCCCCCACACUGGGACUGAGACACGGCCCAGACUCCUACGGGAGGCAGCAGUGAGGAAUAUUGGACAAUGGGCGCAAGCCUGAUCCAGCCAUGCCGCGUGAGUGAAGAAGGCCUUAGGGUUGUAAAGCUCUUUUAAUGGUGAAGAUAAUGACGGUAGCCAUAGAAAAAGCUCCGGCUAAAUUCGUG